AACUCUUCUGGAAGAGCAGACAAGUGCU
This 28-nucleotide non-coding RNA is filed under the name Cricetulus griseus (Chinese hamster). Lineage: Eukaryota; Metazoa; Chordata; Mammalia; Rodentia; Cricetidae. The record is from RNAcentral.